Molecule: ribosomal RNA, 468 nt
Filed under: uncultured bacterium
Lineage: Bacteria
Description: partial 16S ribosomal RNA
Rfam family: Bacterial small subunit ribosomal RNA
Source: RNAcentral
GACAAACGCUGGCGGCGUGCUUAACACAUGCAAGUCGAACGGAAAGGCCCUGCUUUUGUGGGGUGCUCGAGUGGCGAACGGGUGAGUAACACGUGAGUAACCUGCCCUUGACUUUGGGAUAACUUCAGGAAACUGGGGCUAAUACCAGAUAGGAGCUCCUGCUGCAUGGUGGGGGUUGGAAAGUUUCGGCGGUUGGGGAUGGACUCGCGGCUUAUCAGCUUGUUGGUGGGGUAGUGGCUUACCAAGGCUUUGACGGGUAGCCGGCCUGAGAGGGUGACCGGCCACAUUGGGACUGAGAUACGGCCCAGACUCCUACGGGAGGCAGCAGUGGGGAAUAUUGCACAAUGGGCGGAAGCCUGAUGCAGCAACGCCGCGUGCGGGAUGACGGCCUUCGGGUUGUAAACCGCUUUCGCCUGUGACGAAGCGUGAGUGACGGUAAUGGGUAAAGAAGCACCGGCUAACUACGUG